RNAcentral lists this non-coding RNA (51 nucleotides) under unclassified sequences. The record is from RNAcentral.
CCGGGCUUUCGACAACCGCCCGGUAAGCUGUCGCGUUCAGCCAAGCGUUGU